Molecule: long non-coding RNA, 1203 nt
Organism: Salmo salar (Atlantic salmon)
Lineage: Eukaryota; Metazoa; Chordata; Actinopteri; Salmoniformes; Salmonidae
Source: RefSeq, a predicted model, not a curated record
UGACAACUUCCUGAAUAGCUAGAAGAGGGGGCGGGUAAACAAAAUCAUGUUAUGUGACGUUGUGAAACAUUACCGCCUUGGACUGACAAAACACACAACUAGCAUCUUUAUGGUAUUUGGCCUAUUUUACCCUUUGAUAACUUAUUGAGAAGAUGCUUCCAGCACCUGCAGUCUUUCAUUUCCUUUGGGAAGUCAACUCUGGUGCAGUCAAGGAGGGAGAUUCAGUGAGAACAUUUGGAAGGUGUUCGAUGCCAUUCCAUUUGCUCCGUUCCGGCCAUUAUUAUGAGCCGUUCUUCCGUCAGCAGCCUCCCCUGAUUGAUGAGUUACCAACCAGAGAAUCGAAGGCUACACUAUCUAUCCAGCAUGCAGCAAGACAGCACCAAGUUGUUGUUCAGACUACAUUUGUGGAACCCUUUGACCCCAUCAUUGGAGCACAGUACAUCGUUCUGGGCGAGAUUGAAAAAGCAGAGGGAGGUGAUGGUGUGAUGGUCCAUGCCCACGUGCUGAACUGUGUGGAUGGGGUGAACCUAGCCCUGCUACAGAGAGGUGUCAAUUAACAGAGAAGCUACUUCAGAGAGAGGGGGGAGAGCAAGGGAGAUGCUGCUACUGCUGCUCAGCCACUUGCUCCUCUCUGACCUGGACCCCGAUAAGAAUUAAUCUGUCACAACGCUGCACUGAUACAGUGCUACUGGUGGAAAGUUAUGAACCAGGUGGAAUUUAAUGACAUGUUGUAGUGUUUAAAUGACCUCAUUUAUACCUCAGAUGGAUCGUGUCAAAAGGUCAGAUUUUUUUUAUGGUUGGGACAUUUUCCCAUAUAGCCGAUUACAUGGGGAUGUCAAGAAUUAUGAGACUGUGCCUCUCACUAAUUUAGAAUGGCAAAGGGUGGAAUUGGGAUAUAAAAAUACUUCUGAGGAAAUCCUGAUUGAUACACAAAAGCUUCUUGUUCUGGUGCACUGUAAAGUCCUGCCAUUAUUUGUCAUAAGAUAUCAGUUCUGGAAGACACCCUCUUCCUCCUGACAGAGUUAGGCAAGUUCACUGAAUGUUGGGUCAGGUGUAUGAAGUAGGUCAAGAAAAUGCAUACUUACAUUCUUAUUGUAGCUAAUCUAAGAUAAGAGAAUGUUUGAUGUAGCUAUUUGUGAAUGAAAACUGAUAUGUAGCUUGGAAAUGUACACUGCUCAAAAAAAUAAAGGGAACACUAAAAUA